GUCAGUUCAUUGUAUGUGUUUGUCGGUUGUCGUAUGUCAGUUUACCCGUGGCGCCUUGUUUUCUCCUGUUUGGAUUUUGGACCCCACCAGGAAAAUGUCCACGAGAAGUCGCGGCGAGCUGAUGAGUGAACACGGCUGAAAAUAUUCCUGAAAAAUUCAACACAUGAAAGCGGGCGGGGAUGAUAACGUUUACACACGACGGGGUUAAAACAACAACAAAGGUAUGGACCCUACAACUCUGCUUCCGCGUUCUGUGGCUGGUUCAGGAUGCAGUGAGCUCCCAGUAGAUGCAGGGAGGAACAGCUCUACAGUUGAAAGGGAUCACCGCGCAGGCCACUCGGCACCGCUGCGGGGCAGCUGCUGCAGCUGUGUCCGCAGGCGUCAUCAGCCUGAAACUCUAUCCAUCCUGCUCGCCCUGCCCACAUCCCGUGAGUAAAGCUCAGCCUGUUCGCCCCUCCACUUUGAACCGGACGAGAAGGAAAGAAAAGCAAGAUCCCCAUUGUCUAAAAUAUUCAUCCCACUUCAGAAACAAUGCACUCAACCUGCACAAAAUGUGACUAAAAGAUCAACAAUGAGAGCUGAAGUUCGAUAGUUAGGCUAUCAGUGUUGAGAUUCCGUUAAACAGCGAAUCAAUAUCCUAUUUAAGGCCUGCUUUUGCGGUACAAAACAACACAAGAUAAUAAAGUCUGACACAUUUACAAUCUCAAACUUGUAUUUUAACUUGUAUUUUGUGUCGUAACGACCACAGAAACGUGGAGAGGGAAUUUGGCUGAUGCGCUCCGCGUUUCCAAACAACUGGGCGGUUGCAUGGCAAUGUGCAGCGAGGAGAAAGUAACAAAGCCAUAAAUAAUAUCGGACACUCACUUGUC
Molecule: non-coding RNA, 869 nt
Organism: Labrus bergylta (ballan wrasse)
Lineage: Eukaryota; Metazoa; Chordata; Actinopteri; Labriformes; Labridae
Source: RefSeq, a predicted model, not a curated record